GUCGCCUCCAGCAGGAAGUGAUCCGCUCAGCAGGCACUGCUCUCGUUAGCUACCAGGUUCAUUUGACGGGGAAAGAAAAGUGAGCUAGAAACAGCAGAAAAUGACAAACUGUCCCCACAGUCUGUGCGGUCAGGGAGAUAACGACGUUAGAGAGUUGAUACCCAGGCUUAUGUACACGCUGCAGUUUGGAAACAACAUCUGGACUUCAGGCCAGAUUUGGGGAGUACAUGACUUACAGUUGUCCUGUGGACAGAUUCUCCCACCUGAGCUGCUGAUUUCUGCAGCUUCUUCAGAGUGACCAUGGGUCUCUUGGAAGCCUCUCUGACCAGGAUGACCAUGUCUUGGUACGCUGGAUUCUUCUGAUACUCACUUAAAUGUGUCCCUGGUGUCCAACGGUCGACAUCUGGAUUUUACUGGCUGGAGCAAUUUUCUCUGAGGAAACCAACACAAACUGGGAUAAAUGUAACUACUGUUGCUGAUUACUUACUUAUUGAUUACUUACUGUUACUUAAGCUUGCUUUGAGCUCUGUGUGGUGUAUUUUUUUGAAAAAUGAAAAACAACAACACGUCUUAAACUGCCAAGACAAAUAAUGAAAGUUUGACUCACACUUUUGUUUUUACAUCAU
Molecule: long non-coding RNA, 626 nt
Organism: Oreochromis niloticus (Nile tilapia)
Lineage: Eukaryota; Metazoa; Chordata; Actinopteri; Cichliformes; Cichlidae
Exons: 4
Source: RefSeq, a predicted model, not a curated record